Molecule: long non-coding RNA, 882 nt
Organism: Raphanus sativus (radish)
Lineage: Eukaryota; Viridiplantae; Streptophyta; Magnoliopsida; Brassicales; Brassicaceae
Exons: 3
Source: RefSeq, a predicted model, not a curated record
UGCAAAAAAGCUCGAGCUCUAAGAUUCUAGACAUAUGUCAGGGUGUGAUAUUCCUGACAUAGAUGUCAUCGGAAUCUCCGGUGAUUCCCUUUAAGCUUAUUAGUGUCCUCUCGAGACUUGGAAAGACUCUAAGAUUUACUAGGUCCCUAGGUGGGUUCAACGCACACGCCAGCAACAUAGUCUCUGUUGUAUUCAUAGCCACUGGCCAAGAUCCAGCUCAAAACGUGGAGAGCUCCCAAUGAAUCACAAUGAUGGAAGCCGUUGACGACGGCAAAGAUAUCCAUGUCUCUGUCACUAUGCCAUCCAUUGAGGUAACGCAGCAGAUUGCGUCUCAAUCAGCGUGUUUAAACCUGCUGGGAGUUAAAGGAGCAAGAGCACGGAGUCGUCGGGGAUGAACUCAAGGAGGCUAGCGACGAUAGUGGCGGGAGCAGUUUUGGCAGGAGAGUUAUCACUGAUGUCAGCUAUAGCAGCAUGACAACUUGUGAAGAGUCGCAUGAAAUACAAUAGAUUUAGCAGAGACAUAUCUGGAGCAAUGACAGCGACAACAACAACGACAACAUGAUCUGACUCACCAUUGUCAUCAUCUGUGUAGCCAAAACUCGAAGGACAAAAAUCUAUAGAAGGGCAGGUUCUCUGGUGAACAUGUUUAGCCAGGUGCCGUGCCUUGCCUUGCCUUGCCUUUUGUUUAGUAAAAGCUUAUUUGUUUUUUAACUUUUUUGGGAUUAAGGGUGAGUAAGAGAGAGAGAGAGAGAGAACAUCUUUCUUCUUUUCUCUCUUACUCGUGGAUGACUCAUGUGUUCUUUUUUGAUGUAUGUCUAAUCUUGGUCUUUGUUUGUUAGGAAAUGGUGUUUAUAUGAUAAAAUACUGUAUGGAGUUACGUUU